Homarus americanus (American lobster) is the source of this 3694-nucleotide RNA transcript. It is a transcript of the gene named UDP-galactose/UDP-glucose transporter 7-like, with no coding region annotated. The transcript has 8 exons. The record is from RefSeq and is a predicted model, not a curated record. NCBI's taxonomy places the organism in Eukaryota, Metazoa, Arthropoda, Malacostraca, Decapoda, Nephropidae.
GCAGUCCACGACCUGGCAACCCUGGCAAGUGUGUUUACUGUCGAGUUGUCAUCAUCUGUUGGACAGGUGUGCUGAGUGUUGCAACGUAUACGAAAUAGACUAACCAAAGAGAAUAAAAGCCUUGAUUGAACUUAACAUAAUGGAGGAGUCUUGGGUUAAUAUAUAGAACUAACCCGUCAUAUCUCACGUCUGGAAAUGCCUCACAUUUCACCAUAUCAUAUGUGAUGAUGCAGGGCCGGGGACCAGCUUUGGGAGCUGCUCUCCUGUAUGGCACUAUCUCCCUCUCCAUGGCAUUCUUAAACAAGGCUGUGAUGAGCCAGUAUGGAUUCAAUUAUCCAUUUUUCAUAUUAUCAUGUCAGAUGAUAUUAACAGUAACUGUCUUGGAAGUUAUGCGUGCAUUUGGGAAAUUUGGCAUACCGAAAAUUACGAUGGCUGCCAUAAAGAUGUUUGCCUUUCCUUCGUUUUGCUAUUCCUUACAUGCCACACUGUCUUUAAUGGCCUUAGAAGGUAUGAAUAUUCCAAUGUAUGGAGCUCUCAAACGUUGCACUCCGCUUGUUAAUUUGAUACUAGCUGUAACGUAUCUGAAGAAGCCAACGCCGUCUGCCCUUGUGAUAACUUCAGUCUUGACUAUAACCAUUGGGUGUUUGAUAGCUGGGAUGAGUGACCCCACAUUUCAUGGAUAUGCGUAUAUGAUGGGAGGACUGAGUGUAGUGCUGCAGGGGCUGUACCAGACCCUCGUAGAACAGUGUGGUGAAAACCAGCUAUCUCCGCUGCACAUCCUCCACCUCAAUAGUUGUAUAUCAGUUAUCCCAUUUAUAAUUAUUACUUGUGGUAAAGGGGAGUUGAGUGCUGUCUUUACAUACCAGUAUAUUGGUGAAACAAAUUUCCAUGUGAUAUUCUUGUUGGUGCUGGUGCUGGGGCUGCUGCUGAACUUCUCCUUAUUCUUAUGCACAAUGCUCAACUCUGCCCUCACCACCUCCAUUGUGGGGGUGUCCAAGAGUGUUUUAACCAUCAUUGGAUUCCUCACUUUUGGUGGAAUUGUGUUCGAUCCAGUGAAUGUUGCAGGAAUUACUUUGAACAUAGCUGGUGGUGUGACAUAUGUAUAUGCCAGGUACCAAGACCACAAGACAAGGAGGAGAAACAUAUAUCUUGGAGACGAUGGCAUACAACAUGCAGGAUGGGAACUAAAAGAAAAAAUUGAUGCCAGCCAAUUGCCGAAAUAAUUUUAAGUAUGAAUAUUUAUAUAGUACAGUAGUGUUUUUAAUUUUCUUAGAAAAAUAUGAAUUUCUAGUGAUAUGGUAUUUGUAUCAGGGAAUAUUUAAAGUAACAUUCACUUGUUGAAUUAUACUUAGUACAAUCCAGUAUACUCUCAAGUGAUUACAAAGAAACUAUAUGAUUCAUCGCACAGUCAUUCCAUUUCACGAAUCUAAGUAAAAAAAAAAGUACUGAAAGAUAUGAAGAAUAAACUGAACACCAACAUACAAUACUGGAUUGACUAAUUGAGGAAGAUGAGAAGGAAGCCUAAAUGGCCAACACCUACUGGGUAUAAAUUUUUUUACAGUAUAUAUUGUUCUUGAGAGAGUUCAUGGUGGAGCCAGAUUCAUAAGUAUGAAGACAUCAUUGGCUGAGUUUUGGAUCAGUUCAUCAAUUAAAAAGAAGUCAAAGAGAUAAUUAAGAUGAUCAAGGUUGUCAUAUCUUCAGGGAAAGAUAUAAUUCAUCUCAAAGUAAUGAAAGAAGUUCACAGUACAAUAUUAUAAACAGAUUGGUAACAAUGACCUUAAACACGUCAUGCAGAACAGGCAAAUUACCAUAAGAACAGAAAACUGCAAAGAUAAAAGUAAUCAAUAAUGGGACUAUGUUGUGGAUCAUAUGGAGAACAAUCAAGUAUUGAGUGACAAACACUGUGUUCAUAAGUGGAAGAGCCACUGAACUCAAGUUGCUUCAAGUUUGUGAUGCUUGGACAGAGAAGAAAGAAGAACCAAGGGACUUCCUGUCCUCAGCUCGCAGUGUUGAUGGCCUCACAUGCUGUUGUUGGUGUGGGGGAUUUACACAAAUGCAGUCAAAGUGACACCACCCUCAUUGCCUGGUCAUCCAAGAUCCAGACCAAAGUGACAGUCGGCCAUUUUUUUUAACAAUCGAGAAUUAUUAGUACAUCCCAAAAGUGACCUCUGCGCCGUAAUCCAUUUCUUAAACCAAACAUUUGGGUUGCUGUUUAGUAAUCAGACAAUGGUUAUUGGAACAUUCAAGUAAAGUCUUUGGGUGCCUACCCCCACCUGAAGGAUUUCUCAUCUAGUUAUAUAUAAAUAGAAAAAGUAUCUGAAGUAUUACCGUACUGUAUGUUAUUUAAGAUGGAAAAAAUAAUUUAAAUGUUCUUAUUACCAUUUUCUAAAAAAAUUACUUAUUAUGAAGAGAUCACCUUGAACCCACUUGAUGUUUACUUUCAACCCCAAAGAGCUCUCAUGAUUCUCGUCUCGCCCAUUACACUUCUGAAAAUUUAUCAAAUAUUACAUUCCCACUGCCUUCUACCCGGCCAUCCUACUAAGCUGGUCCAUCUACCUUCCUCUCUCUUCCCCAUGCCACAUCUACUAUCCUUACAACAGCCUCUAGCCCAGCCUUGACAGCCAGCUGCCAUUCAUCAACCCCUAAUGUAUCCUCAGCUCUACUCUGAUGCUGCCAGGCCUUGUAAGUUCACCUGUGGUCCUCACCUCUCCCCCACAGAGACAUAUUUCCUGUCCAUCCUGCACAACCCAGAGCGACGUAAGAAAGAGAGGGGAUCCCAUACGUAAGUGGUUAACCACUCAUAUGCCACAAAACAGCUGCCCCAUGCGAGGAAAACUGCUGCUAUUAUCGCCGUACUCAAGCCAGGCAAACACGACAAAUACCGCCCAAUUUCUUUCAUCUCCUGCUUCUCCACAGUGAUGAAAUGCAUGAUUUACCUGCACUAGAAAAUUGAAGCUCACCUACAUCCUGGCCUGUAUGUAUUUUUCCCUGGGAAGAGUACUGCUCACUACAUGACAAACACUUCGGCUACAACUUCCCUCUUUACCAGCUUCCAGGGUGCAUUUGAUAAAGCCAAUGGUGACACGGUCAUUGAGAGCCUCACCCACAUGGACGAGAAGGGCAAACUCCUUACAUGGUUGGCAGACAACCUUCUUUAUCGACAGGCCUGUGUCCAUUUCCAGAGCAACACGAUCAAAGCCCUUGGUCCUCAGCCCCAAUCUCUUUAACAUUUUCAUGAACUCUGUCUACCAGCUGAACAACACUUGUUGAGCACAAUGACUCAAUGGACACACCAUCAGCUAUGCUGAUGAUCUCAAUAUUACUGUACUACACUGCAACAUAAACAACCUAUACUCUCUACACAUGCCCUUGUCAUCUCAAACAUCAAAACUAACUUCAUCUCGCACCCCCUUUGUCAGACUCCGCUGAGCCAGCAAGGACAGGGCAUUGAACAAGUACACACCUACAGGUACCUGAAGGUAAGUAUUGCACAGUUAUUACCACAACUGAACACCAGAUCAUCCACAUGCAUUCUGACAUGGUAAAUGGUACAGUUGCUAACACCAUGUUUUCACAGUUACCUCCACUUAUGUGUGAAUGUGUUUGGAUUUGUUCACAGUAUUACGGUGUACAAAUAAAUACUACUUUAUAAUGUACAAAGAUUUUAUAUUAUACUAAUUAUCAAGACAAAAUA